This 754-nucleotide long non-coding RNA is filed under the name Gallus gallus (chicken). The record is from RNAcentral. Lineage: Eukaryota; Metazoa; Chordata; Aves; Galliformes; Phasianidae.
GGAUGUCAUCAAUGGCAAUGUAGCCAUUUCUCCCAUCUGAGACUUCAGCUUCAAAUAUUACCUGAUACUCAUUGGGCCAGAAGGUGCUGACAGCCAACUCUGCUCGAAGCCAGUCUUUGCCAGUGGAGCCGGUGACGUUCCAGAUGGGGUUAGCCAGUGGCCCUUUGUUCACCCUAACCAGGAUGUUCAGAGUUCCUGGGUUUGCUCCACUCUUGCUAUACAGAAGGUAACUGAAAUCAAUACAGUGAGUAUCAUUUUCUUUCAUGGUUGGAAGCUGAAGUCGAGUCUUUUCUCCAGGGUCAUGAUCUGACGAAAUCACUAUCAUAUAUGACCCUUGAGGCAUCUCAGGUGGUAAAUAGUGAGGCUCUUGAGCACUGACAUGUACCCAGUCGAAGUCAUCAUACAAGUCUUGAUGGUAGUCACACGGCCCCGGACCAUCGUCAAAGGAACAUCCCCCUGCGGAGAGCUGAGCGCGGGCCGCUCCCGGCAGAGCGGGCGAGCCUCCGGCCAGCAGCAGGGCGAGCGCCGCCAGCAGCGGCAGCGAGGCCGCGGCGCCGGCCCCCCUGCCCAUGCCGACUUGCCGAGAAGUUUCCCAAAGAGGCCGGGGCUGCCCCGGCCCGCGGCGGCGGGCGGAGCUCGCCUCGCCCAGCCCUCCCGCCCGGGAAAGCCCCGCGCCCAGGGCCGCCCGCCCGCCGGGGCAGCCGUCUGCGGCGCGACGGGCGCAGCACCGCGGCAGCACCGGCUCCUCUCGUCC